This 660-nucleotide long non-coding RNA is filed under the name Nicotiana benthamiana. Its description in RNAcentral is "long non-coding RNA (NBEN_LNC041370)". The record is from RNAcentral. Lineage: Eukaryota; Viridiplantae; Streptophyta; Magnoliopsida; Solanales; Solanaceae.
AUCAGAUAAUUAGAGACCUAGGGGGAGAUCUUUUUAGACCCUUAAGAGAACACAGCAGCGGCGGCGCACCUUCCAGCUCUCUGCUUGCUUCUCCAUUUCUAAGAACACAUACACAUAUGAAAAUACAAGGAUAAAAAUUUUGAUUUUCAGAUCUGGAAAAGAUGACUCCAAAAAAUUUAAAAAAAAAGGAAAAGAGAACGAUGAAAAAGAAGAUUUAAAGCUGGUUUUGGGUUUGUCAUUCAAUUGAUACACAUUUUUUAGGAUUUCUCUAAAUGGUUUGAGCUAUUGAAAUUCUCGAAUUUGCUGGAGCUGUUUGGUUUUUGGAGCUGCCGGGUUAUCUGGUUUGGAGUUGUAGACUUGCACUCUAGCUAACUGAAUUUCCACUGCUGUUUGUUUCAUUUUACAUUCAGAGCUUAUUUUCUAUUUUAUUGUUCUUGAAGAUCGUCAUCGUUUUUUUUUGUUGUUAUUCUCUAUAUAAAUUACCGCUUCAAUUAUUUUUCUUAGGUUGUUGUUGUGAGUUGUUAGUAAAUAUUCCCUAUUCUGUGCAUUUGCAAGUCAAGUUCUACUUUCAAUUUUGACAAUAUAAAUCAGUGGCAUAAAUGAAUUUUUGUCUCCAUCACUUAACUGACUACAAAUUAAAUAGGACCAUUUCACUAAAUC